This is a long non-coding RNA of Varroa destructor (honeybee mite), 1862 nucleotides long. The record is from RefSeq and is a predicted model, not a curated record. NCBI's taxonomy places the organism in Eukaryota, Metazoa, Arthropoda, Arachnida, Mesostigmata, Varroidae.
CUUCAGUACCGGAUUGGUUCCCUCUCCCGCUGACCGCGAGCACCAACACCCGUCAGCAAGGCGGAGCGGCUAGAGCUGAAACAGGCCUGGAAGUGAGGCAGUGCGGACACAAAUGCAAACGACGAGGCCACUGUGGUGGAGUUCAGCGCGUCGGAGCGCAAGUUGGAGAAAGAGAGUAGUGAUGAAAAUCGUCCUGCUUGACACAAACAAUCAUUUUUACAAUUGACCUGAAUUCGUGUUAAGAACGGACCUCUUGUAUAAACUAAUUUUCAUAUACAUUUUUUGGGUGUCCACCUAUUCAGUGGAUUGUUAUCGCUCGACGUCCCUGGAAUAGACAGCCUUCAUCAUUGAUCAAUCAGAAACAGGAACUAUUGUGAGAUCUGUGCUUGUGUUCGUUAAGAGACCUCUGUCGUUGAAACUUGCCCUGCUCCAUGUCGCCCACGCUUGACAUGCAGUUACUGGGGUCGAUGGGUCAAUCCAGUUCAUUACUUAUGAAAGCACAAAACUGCGAACUACUCUUCAUCUAGAUGUAAUCUAUUUUUAUCCUUCGACGGAAGAUUAAUUGUGAGAGCUAACAGGAGAGCAUUGGUAAGCAAAUAAGAUAAUCUGUUGACGAUCUGAUCGAAAGAGUGUGUUUCCCAAAGACGAUGGAAAGUGCGUGGGGCUUCUGGGACUUGAGCGGGAAUUACCCAGUCCUUCUGAUAUGCGUCUCGAUGGCUUGUCUGUUUCUGGGGGCCACACUCAUGUACGUUGCUCAUUCACGGAGGUUUCGCCUCAAUUGGUUCGAAAGGAAUCGACUCGACUCCCUGGCCUGUGAGGAAGCUACCGUUGUUAAGUUGUGUAAUCGUCAACGAUAUCACAGUGGAUCCACAUGUAGUGGGGGAAGCCUCGCGGAUCUCACGGCAGCUUUGCCCCCCCUGGCGACUCCAAGCGCCAGCCGCUCAUUAAUGUCAGGAACUUUACACAGCGCCCUCCAAGAACAAGGGUCAGGCGGUGGCGGUUGUUCGAAAAGCACGGUAAGUGGCAGCAUCGUCGAUAGAAGUUGUGUAUGUUCAGAUUUUUAAUUACCUCGAUCGUCGGGAUCACCAGCGAGUGUCACCACUAACGGAGCGGCACACUCAAUCCUCUACGCCAUACAGCCACUUAUCCGUGCAUCCAACAGUGAAGCAACAAUGCGACCUGUCGCCCUGUUCGGACGUGAGUUCCGCCAUACAAAAGCACGUGCUGCAACAGCUGUGGGGCCCUGCUUGACUGCAGUAGAUGGAGCUCAAAGUGAGCACAAUGCACGAAAAGAUCGACCACAUUAAGUUCGACACAUCGAGCAAAGGGAAAAAACUACAUGUCGUGAUUGCGGUCGUUAUAUUCUGUUCGGCUUUGUGAACAGGAGGCGACGAGCGUGGACGGCGGUGAAGAUUAAGAUGAUCCCGGUUACAUCAAUUAUUUUCUGACGUACAAGGCACACUUCUCUCUACUGUGUGUACGUGCAGUGAGGGCGUCUGACCUGACGCUAAUUGCUCCAACAGAAUUCAUAGUGAACCCUUCUAUCGGACCCAGAAGCAUCGACUUAGCCAAAAGCUGGACAAAUGCGACGUAACACACUUGAACCGGAUUUCGAGGAAGAUUUAAUACCAUUAUGGACCUUCAUAUAAAAGUAAGCGAACAUACAAACGGUUACAAAGUGAGUUAGAACUAAUUAGUGUCCGAAAUCGUGGCCAGACAAUAGACGCUAGAAGUCACGCGACGCCAAAGUGAACGUGGCCAUAAUAGUAAUAUUAGAUGAUAUACGUUCGGUGUCGGAACGCUAAGACGUAGCUUUUAUUGCCAAAUAAAUGUGAUCAGAGGAGUUUCUCUGGAACUUCUUC